This is a long non-coding RNA of Sinocyclocheilus grahami, 481 nucleotides long. RefSeq lists it as uncharacterized. The record is from RefSeq and is a predicted model, not a curated record. Lineage: Eukaryota; Metazoa; Chordata; Actinopteri; Cypriniformes; Cyprinidae. The transcript has 3 exons.
CAAACCGUGGAUACAGGCGUGCGCUGCGUUUUAAACGCUUGUCAUUCUUCGCGUCCGUACGAGUUAGUUUCUGUGAUUUCUGUUGCUUUUUCUUUCACUAUGAAGCUGCUCGUUUGGCUAUGGAAUACUGUGAAUAAUCUCUGGUCGAUAGAUUGAAAAUCGAUUGCAACGCAUUUGGAUAUUAAUCGCGUGUUUGGCUGAGAAAGGAUGCAUUAUGAUUCAUGGUCAUCUAAUAACUGGAACAGGAUCUUACAGUGGACGGGCAUGAAGAAAUCGGAUGGUGUGGAUUAGAUCAUUGGGGAUAUAGUGCUUUGAUUUCUCUCAUCUCAAUGUUGGGCUCCACAGGACCUCUGCCUUUGUGCUCUGAAAUGAAAUAAUGGCAACGCAUCGGGCUGCGUCAACGCACCAAGAUGAGAAGAAAAAUCCAGCCGGGUCGUCAGUUUGCGAGGCCAAACGGAAGGAUGGUUGUGAGCGCAGCGUG